Molecule: ribosomal RNA, 490 nt
Filed under: uncultured bacterium
Lineage: Bacteria
Description: partial 16S ribosomal RNA
Rfam family: Bacterial small subunit ribosomal RNA
Source: RNAcentral
AUUGAACGCUGGCGGCAGGCCUAACACAUGCAAGUCGAACGGUAACAGGAAGAAGCUUGCUUCUUUGCUGACGAGUGGCGGACGGGUGAGUAAUGUCUGGGAAACUGCCUGAUGGAGGGGGAUAACUACUGGAAACGGUAGCUAAUACCGCAUAACGUCCCAAGACCAAAGAGGGGGACCUUCGGGCCUCUUGCCCUCGGAUGUGCCCAGAUGGGAUUAGCUAGUAGGUGGGGUAACGGCUCACCUCGGCGACGAUCCCUAGCUGGUCUGAGAGGAUGACCAGCCACACUGGAACUGAGACACGGUCCAGACUCCUACGGGAGGCAGCAGUGGGGAAUAUUGCACAAUGGGCGCAAGCCUGAUGCAGCCAUGCCGCGUGUAUGAAGAAGGCCUUCGGGUUGUAAAGUACUUUCAGCGGGGAGGAAGGGAGUAAAGUUAAUACCUUUGCUCAUUGACGUUACCCGCAGAAGAAGCACCGGCUAACUCCGUG